CACUCACUUCUCUAAAGCCCUUAUAGGGAAGGUACUAUUAUUAUUCCUGUUUUUCAAUUAAGGAUACUGAGGCACUGUGAGGUUCACUGAAAGCUGGACUGUGAGGAAGAUUCGGGCCGUCGGACUCCAGACCCCAAGCUCUAACAUACUAUGAGGGCAUCCCAGGAGAAGGCAGAGUCCAGGAGGCGGAUGUUGGGAAGCAAAUCCUGAACUCAUCAAGUCCCAUAGCCCCUUUGUCUAUGGACCUUCUGCCAGCAUCUUCUGUAAGAGUAAUGGUUCACCUAUCUCUUGCCCUGGGAGGCUGACACCUGUAGACUGCAUCUCACGCUCUCCUUGGCCAGCUAGCUUCAAGUUGAGUUCAGCUAGAAAACAACCCUGACAAGGAAAUGAGAAGGUGGGAGAGACAAGUUGGAGGAUUUCUGCCUUCCUUCCUCAAAUUCUGAAACAAUACUUCCUCCCCUAUCUUCAGCCCAAGGGAUGCUCAUGACUGCUUAGGUUUGUCAGUCUCUGGGUGCCUCGCUACCUCCUGUGUGUUUCCUAAGCCACACCCUUACCUCCAUUCAUUAAAAAAUGACUGCUUCAACGAACUUACGGGGUAGUGAUGCAUCCUGUUGACUGCCGGGAUCCAAAAAAACACUCAACUGGCUUUUUUCCAAGAAGCCUAAGCAAUACUAGGAAUUGGCCUCUUUAUGAUGACCCCAGAGUUGGAUCAGUAAUAAUAGCACUGGGAGUUAACAGUUACUGAGUGCCUGCCAUGUUCCCACGCAGUAUGCUAAGCAAUGUAUGGGAAGAAUCUCAGGAAGUAGAGGCUGAACAAGUUUCUUAAAAUAAUGGGCUACAGGGAGCAGAAACCAUUUAAAGGGCACUGACAGCCAAAGACUGUUUAUGUCCAAGGGAAGGACUCUUCAGUAAUAUGGUAAUACUCUUUUGAGUAAUAUAGUAUGGAGACUAAUAAAAUAAAAGUAAUACUAAAGGAUCCUUUAAGGGGACUGGGUAAAUGUGAACGAGAGGACUAUUUUAGCAAAAAUUCUUUCACUUAAUACUUGCUACGAAUUUACCAUUAGCUCUCAUUCCAUCUAGUGGUAAUGCCAGCACUAUUCAGCCCCACCACUUCACCUGGUGAAGACAUUAGUGUUGGAGCAAUGGUAUUUUUGCUUUAUUGAGAUAAGAUAUAAUUCACAUGCCCUAAAAUUUACCCUUUUAAAUACAGGUUCAGUGGUUUUUAGAAUAUUCACCGAAUUGUGCAACUGUCACCACUAUUGAAUUCUAGAACGUUUUCAUCAUCCCAAAAAGCAGCUCCAUACCCAUUAACCAUUACUCUUCAUUCCCUCUCCUCCAAGCCCCUCGCAAUCACUAUUUCCUGUUUCUAUGCAUUAGCCUAGUCUAACAUUUCAUAUAAGUGGACAAAGAAUACGUAGCCUCUUGUGACUGGCUACUUUCAUAUAGCAUAAUGUUUUCAAGGUUCAAGCAUGUUAUAGAUUCAGUACUUCAUUCCUUUUAAUGGUUGAACAAUAUUCCA
This 1519-nucleotide long non-coding RNA is filed under the name Homo sapiens (human). RNAcentral's name for it is "HSALNT0312236". Lineage: Eukaryota; Metazoa; Chordata; Mammalia; Primates; Hominidae. The record is from RNAcentral.